UUUUGGGUUCAGAAACUUUGUUCUUGUUCCCGCUCCCUCCAUCUGCUAUUCCCCGCUCACUCCAUCUAGUCGACCAUAGCAAUCUCUCAAACUCUCAGAAUCCCAUCCCUCUCUCUGCGACUCUCAAACUCACUCUCCCCCAAUCUCCUCCGCGGAUGAUGGUCAACGGCAUGGGCACGGUGGGCUGACGACACAUCAAUCUUCUCUCAAUCUAUCCUCGAAUCUGAUUCCGGUCCGACCCUCUCCUCGAACCCAAUCUGGCCGGUAUUUCAAAGGUCCUGAGCUUCUGGUUGAUUUACAACAUUAUGAGUAUUCUUUGGACUUGUGGAGUCUUGGUUUCUGAGCAACUAGUUGCGACUUCACUUGCUCACUUGGUUGAGUCUGCAUCAUAUUCUGGAUCUGGAAACCUAACUACGAAGUUCCAACAGGCAAAGAAUCAUGAACCCUUAAGCUUGUGUGCUGUCUUUUUUUUUUUGUAUCAUAUUAGAUCAUGCCCUGCAACUUCAUAUCUCAUGAUAAUAGUUGAAGUUUUGUAUAUGGUAGUAGUAAAUUCCUGUGAGUACUCCUUUCUAGUUCCAAUCUUAGUGUGCUUUAUGUAACGUGGUAGUGUUUCUUUCCAUUCAUAAAUAAAAUAAAUCUAUAUAAGCAAAACAAAGAAAUUGAGUUGGAUAUUGUUUAAAACAUUUACUUAAGAUCCAAAUUGGCUGUAGGUCAUCAAUGAAGAUGUCAUUGUUCAUGAUUCUGAGGGAAAAGAAAUUGAGUCAUAGCUUCUUCCUCUAGAUGAUGUCCAUCUGGGCUUAAGGAACUACUAUGUUAAGGCAUAUACACUAUCUCGGGUGCUGAAGUGGCAGGUGCUAGCUCGACCAGAUCAUAUGUUUACACCUUCAAAGUAGGGAAAAGUUGACUAUUGAAGAUGGUCAAGGAAAUGUGAAACUCUCUCUUUCCACAGAUCAAGGCAAAAUGAUUAAUUAUGUCAAUAGCAGAAGCUUGGUGGAAGAAUUGGUUCAGCAGUCUUACAGCUUUUAUAAUGGGUAUAAUGACAGUAAUGAUGAAGCUCCUCUGAUUCCUCAGGUUCAAGAUGCAACCAGUGGCCAUGAAGUUAGAGGGAGUCCAUAGGAGAAGGAGUUCAUCCACAUUCAAGUAGUGAUCAAGAAAUUGAGCAUGCUCCAGUACUAACCAAGCCCCUCUAGUUAAUGAUAAAUAGUAUUGUGGUCAAGGAUUCUUUUGAACAAUAUUAAGUUUGGCAAUGUUUCCUUUCAGUUAUCUAGUAUGGAAGGACCUUAUAAUUAUGAAAGACUGGUUGGUUUGGUUAAUUUCAGUUUGUACUUGGUAAUAAAAUAUAACUUGGCACUUAUCUUUUGAUUAUAUGAUUUCAGUUGUGAGAUAGCUAUGAUUGAAAGGAUUA
Molecule: long non-coding RNA, 1405 nt
Organism: Rosa rugosa (rugosa rose)
Lineage: Eukaryota; Viridiplantae; Streptophyta; Magnoliopsida; Rosales; Rosaceae
Exons: 6
Source: RefSeq, a predicted model, not a curated record